CUGGCUCAGGAUGAACGCUGGCGGCGUGCCUAACACAUGCAAGGUCGAACGGAGAUUUAACGCUGAUGAGGCUUCGGCGGAAUCUGUUAAAUCUUAGUGGCGGACGGGUGAGUAACGCGUGGGCAACCUGCCUCGUACUGGGGGAUAACAGUUGGAAACGACUGUUAAUACCGCAUAAGCGCACGGUAUCGCAUGAUACAGUGUGAAAAACUCCGGUGGUACGAGAUGGGCCCGCGUCAGAUUAGCCAGUUGGCGGGGUAACGGCCCACCAAAGCGACGAUCUGUAGCCGGACUGAGAGGUCGGACGGCCACAUUGGGACUGAGACACGGCCCAAACUCCUACGGGAGGCAGCAGUGGGGGAUAUUGCACAAUGGGCGAAAGCCUGAUGCAGCGAACCGCCGCGUGAGUGAAGAAGUAUUUCGGUAUGUAAAGCUCUAUCAGCAGGGAAGAAAGGCCCUUCGGGGAGAUGACGGUACCUGACUAAGAAGCCCCGGCUAACUACGUGCCAGCCGCGGC
This 517-nucleotide ribosomal RNA is filed under the name uncultured bacterium. RNAcentral's name for it is "bacterial SSU rRNA". It matches the Rfam family "Bacterial small subunit ribosomal RNA", at positions 19 to 518 of the family's 1533-position model. The record is from RNAcentral.